Molecule: long non-coding RNA, 280 nt
Organism: Bradysia coprophila
Lineage: Eukaryota; Metazoa; Arthropoda; Insecta; Diptera; Sciaridae
Source: RefSeq, a predicted model, not a curated record
UAAAUCGAGUAUUUGGUAGUUGACUACCAAAGUGGUAGUUGACUACCAAAGUGGUAGUUGACUACCAAAGUGGUAGUUGACUACCAAAGUGGUAGUUGACUACCAAAGUGGUAGUUGACUACCAAACUCAUACGGAGGUUGUAGAGAUGUUUAAUGUUUGAAAGCUGCACACCGACUGAUGAUAUUAAUCGGCUCGCUUGCUUAUUUAUAAAUCGAAAAUUUGCUAGUUGAAUACCGAAGUGGUACUUGAAUAAAUACCAAGCUGGCAAUAAACAGAAAU